Molecule: ribosomal RNA, 253 nt
Filed under: uncultured bacterium
Lineage: Bacteria
Description: partial 16S ribosomal RNA
Rfam family: Bacterial small subunit ribosomal RNA
Source: RNAcentral
UACGGGGGGGGCAAGCGUUGCUCGGAAUUACUGGGCGUAAAGGGCUCGUAGGCGGCCAACUCAGUCGGACGUGAAAUCCCUCGGCUUAACCGGGGAACGGCGUCCGAUACUGGAUGGCUUGAAUCCGAGAGAGGGAUGCGGAAUUCCAGGUGUAGCGGUGAAAUGCGUAGAUAUCUGGAGGAACACCGGUGGCGAAGGCGGCAUCCUGGAUUGGUAUUGACGCUGAGGAGCGAAAGCUAGGGGAGCAAACGGG